GGAGAGGCAGCUGCGGGAGCUGGAGGAGCGCUACGCGCUGGAGACCGCCGGCUACCAGGACACGGUGGUGAGGCUGGAGGAGGACAUCCGCAGCCUGAAGGAGGAGAUGGCGCGGCACCUGCAGGAGUACCAGGACCUGCUCAACGUCAAGCUGGCCCUCGACAUCGAGAUCGCCACGUACCGCAAGCUGCUGGAGGGCGAGGAGAGCAGGUGAUGGCAGAGCGGGGCCUCAUCCUGCCCCGAACCAUCCCCACGUCCUCCUGGUCCCUCUGGGGGUGAGGAGCAGCCCCCAGCCCUCCUGCCCCAGCCCUGGGCAGAGUGGAGCUGCUGUGUGGGGCGGUGGGGACAUGGUACUGUCCCCGACGCCCCCGUCGCUCCCCCAGGAUCACCAUCCCCGUGCAGACCUUCUCCAACCUGCAGAUCCGAGAGACCAGCCUGGAUGCCAAAUCCCUGUCAGAAGCUCACCCGAAGAGGACCAUCGUGGUCAAAACUGUGGAGACCAGAGAUGGAGAGGUGGGAAGUCCUCAUCCGUGCCUCCCACACUGCUUCCCCUCCAUCCCCGCCUGCCCGCAGGGUGUCCCCAAAGGGGGCUGCUCGUCACGCAGGUGGGGCCACCAUCCCUCAGCCCCAGGAGCAGCCUGGACAGGGAGCGGGGCAUCCUGGUGCC
RNAcentral lists this long non-coding RNA (667 nucleotides) under Anas platyrhynchos platyrhynchos (common mallard). RNAcentral's name for it is "lncRNA (ENSAPLG00000030616.1)". Lineage: Eukaryota; Metazoa; Chordata; Aves; Anseriformes; Anatidae. The record is from RNAcentral.